This 497-nucleotide unclassified non-coding RNA is filed under the name uncultured Glomus. RNAcentral's name for it is "SSU rRNA". It matches the Rfam family "Eukaryotic small subunit ribosomal RNA", at positions 591 to 1092 of the family's 1831-position model. The record is from RNAcentral. Lineage: Eukaryota; Fungi; Glomeromycota; Glomeromycetes; Glomerales; Glomeraceae.
CCAAUAGCGUAUAUUAAAGUUGCUGCAGUUAAAAAGCUCGUAGUUGAAUUUCGGGACUAAUAUGUCGGUCGUGCCUCGGUACGUACUGGUAUUUUUGGUUUCUCCCUUCUGACGAACCUUGAUGUCAUUAAUUUGGUGUCUUGGGAAAUCAGGACUGUUACUUUGAAAAAAUUAGAGUGUUUAAAGCAGGCUCACGCUUGAAUACAUUAGCAUGGAAUAAUGCAAUAGGACGUUUGAUUCUAUUUUGUUGGUUUCUAGGAUCGACGUAAUGAUUAAUAGGGAUAGUUGGGGGCAUUAGUAUUCAAUUGUCAGAGGUGAAAUUCUUGGAUUUAUUGAAGACUAACUACUGCGAAAGCAUUUGCCAAGGAUGUUUUCAUUAAUCAAGAACGAAAGUUGGGGGAUCGAAGACGAUCAGAUACCGUCGUAGUCUCAACCAUAAACUAUGCCGACUUGGGAUGGGUAAACGUUGACUUUAUUGACUUUAUUCGCACCAUAUG